UUUAAAGUCUAAUCUGCCCAAUGAUUAAUUAAAUGGCUGCGGUAUUUUGACCGUACAAAGGUAGCAUAAUAAUUAGUUUUUUAAUUGAAAGCUGGAAUGAAUGAUUGGACGAGAAAAUUUCUGUCUCAAUUUAAUUUUAUUAGAAUUUUAUUUUUAAGUAAGAAAGCUUAAAUAUUUUUGAAAGACGAGAAGACCCUAUAGAGUUUUAUAAAUUAUUUUAUAUUAAUUUUUUAGAUUUGUUUUUAUUUUUUAUAUUUUAUUAUAUUUUAUUGGGGCGAUAGAAAAAUUGGUAUAACUUUUUUUUUAUUUAUUAUCAUUAAUAUAUGUUAAAUUGAUCCAUUUUUUAUGAUUAUAAGAUAAAAUUACCUUAGGGAUAACAGCGUAAUUUUUUUUUAGAGUUCUUAUCGAAUGAAAAGAUUGCGACCUCGAUGUUGGAUUAAAAUAUAUAUUUGGUGUAGAAGCUAAGUAAUUAGGUCUGUUCGACCUUUAAAAUUUUACA
RNAcentral lists this ribosomal RNA (499 nucleotides) under Trochalus sp. 836008. RNAcentral's name for it is "partial 16S large subunit ribosomal RNA". The stretch from base 373 to 499 matches the Rfam family "Bacterial large subunit ribosomal RNA", at positions 2473 to 2600 of the family's 2925-position model. Lineage: Eukaryota; Metazoa; Arthropoda; Insecta; Coleoptera; Scarabaeidae. The record is from RNAcentral.